Molecule: small nuclear RNA, 107 nt
Organism: Rhincodon typus (whale shark)
Lineage: Eukaryota; Metazoa; Chordata; Chondrichthyes; Orectolobiformes; Rhincodontidae
Source: RefSeq, a predicted model, not a curated record
AUAUUUGCCUCAGCAGUGCAGUAACUAAAAUUGAAAUGAUACAGUAAAAAUUAACAUGGCCCCUGUGCAAGGAUAACAGGCAAAUUUGUGAAGUAUUCCAGAUAAGC